AUGGGAAAUGCAAGUUGCAGAAUAUUCCUGAGGUUGUUGAUAGGGCGGAUUGGGUUUCGGAUAGAGGGAGGUUUGCAGUCGCCGUUUUGCAAGGAAUUGAAGGGUGGCGCUGUUUCAGGUGGUGUUCUUCCCUUUUGUUCUAAACUUGGACGUCUUUUAUUAGAAAUUUCCCACAGGAUUUGCGUUUCCAUUUUUGUGAAAGUUCAGACUUUUUGGACAGGUUUUUGGCAAGUUGUGGGCAGCAUUGCAGUAGCAUGUUUUUGGGACUGA
This is a non-coding RNA of Vicia faba (fava bean), 270 nucleotides long. The record is from the annotation of a GenBank genome assembly. NCBI's taxonomy places the organism in Eukaryota, Viridiplantae, Streptophyta, Magnoliopsida, Fabales, Fabaceae.